UCAACCAAAAACGUUUAAGAACGAACUCAUUGUUCUGUAUAUCAACCAAUAUUUUUUUAAUAACUAAACCAAGAUAGACCACAGCCCAUCGUUUCAAAUGGGAAGACAUUUGUCAAAGUGGGCAAAACAAGCAAGGAGGAGGGCAACGCCAAGCACGAGCUAACGAGAUCCUAUUGAGGCGUUCUAUCAUAAUUUGUAUAUUUCCGUUCGGGAACGGCUACUUUGAAGUGCAGAGCCAAGCCUGCUGAUUGGAAGUACCAGUGGUGGGGGUGUACUUCGUGGCCAAUGUUUACAUGUUCAGUGAAACUGGACCUGCUGUUCCCCGUGUUAGAGAUGCAUGUCUUACCACAGGACAUGGAAAAGUGUGUGAAGGAGGAACUUCAAACAUGGGCAAAGCAGAUUGAAGAUGGGCUUUGCCUCACCAAUGGCAAAACGAUGCCUGAUGAAGUGUAGCUAGUGGCAGGGCAG
Oncorhynchus tshawytscha (Chinook salmon) is the source of this 468-nucleotide long non-coding RNA. RefSeq lists it as uncharacterized. Lineage: Eukaryota; Metazoa; Chordata; Actinopteri; Salmoniformes; Salmonidae. The transcript has 3 exons. The record is from RefSeq and is a predicted model, not a curated record.